RNAcentral lists this ribosomal RNA (463 nucleotides) under uncultured bacterium. Its description in RNAcentral is "partial 16S ribosomal RNA". It matches the Rfam family "Bacterial small subunit ribosomal RNA", at positions 28 to 507 of the family's 1533-position model. The record is from RNAcentral.
GAUGAACGCUGACAGAAUGCUUAACACAUGCAAGUCUUUGGCGAAUCUGUGCUUGCACAGGCUAGCCAAGGCGGACGGGUGAGUAACGCGUAAAGAACUUGCCCUGCAGACAGGGAUAACAGACGGAAACGACUGAUAGCACCUGAUACAGUUGCCGGCACGCAUGUGCCUGGCAAUGAAAAGAGAUGCUGCAGGAGAGCUUUGCGUCCUAUUAGCUUGUUGGUGAGGUGACGGCUCACCAAGGCGAUGAUAGGUAGCCGGCCUGAGAGGGUGAACGGCCACAAGGGGACUGAGAUACGGCCCUUACUCCUACGGGAGGCAGCAGUGGGGAAUAUUGGACAAUGGGGGCAACCCUGAUCCAGCAAUUCUGUGUGCACGAAGAAGGUUUUCGGAUUGUAAAGUGCUUUCAGCAGGGAAGAAGAAAGUGACGGUACCUGCAGAAGAAGCGACGGCUAAAUACGUG